RNAcentral lists this ribosomal RNA (2295 nucleotides) under Triticum aestivum (bread wheat). Its description in RNAcentral is "partial small subunit ribosomal RNA". The record is from RNAcentral. Lineage: Eukaryota; Viridiplantae; Streptophyta; Magnoliopsida; Poales; Poaceae.
AUGCCUCCAUCGCUCUCCUCCCUCCGCUCCCUCUUCGCGAGGACGCUGGGCCUGGGCUCGGGCGCCGCCGAGCACAGCGGGGAUGAGGAGUCGCAGCCGCAGGCCGGAGGGGCUGGCGGGCCGUCGAGCGGCAGGCGGCCGGCGCCGGCGGGGCCUCCGGGGGAGUGUUACGCGUGCACGCAGCCGGGGGUGCCGGCGUUCCACUCCACGACGUGCGACCAGGUGCACUCGCCGGGCUGGGACGCCGACGCCGGCUCCUCGCUAGUGCCCGUGCAGGCGCAGCAGCUGCGGGCGCAGCCCCUCCCGGGGGCGGCCGCCGUCGCGGCCGCGCGGUGGCUGUUCGGGCCGGUGCUGGACCCGCGGAGCAAGCGCGUGCAGCGCUGGAACCGCUGGAUCCUGCUGGGCCGCGCGGCGGCGCUGGCCGUGGACCCGCUCUUCUUCUACGCGCUCUCCAUCGGCCGCGCGGGGCGGCCCUGCAUGUACAUGGACGCCGGGCUCGCCGCCGCCGUCACCGCGCUGCGCACCUGCGCCGACGUGGCCCACCUCGCCCACGUCCUCGUCCAGUUCCGCCUCGCCUACGUCUCCCGCGAGUCGCUCGUCGUCGGCUGCGGCAAGCUGGUCUGGGACCCGCGCGCCAUCGCCGCGCACUACGCCCGCUCCCUCAAGGGCCUCUGCUUCGACCUCUUCGUCAUCCUCCCCAUCCCCCAGUGUAGUGGCGGAGAUCUCAUUUCACCACUCCCUCUCGUGUGGCUGGUGUUCCUGCAACUGACUCAUUUUUCGCUGAUUAAUUAUUUACCGGUCUUUGUCGUCCAGAUCAUCUUCUGGCUGGUUAUACCAAAGUUAAUCAGAGAAGAGCAAGUUAAAGUUAUCAUGACGAUACUGCUGCUCAUAUUCGUAUUGCAAUUUCUCCCCAAGGUGUACCAUAGUAUAUAUAUCAUGAGGAAAAUGCAGAAGGUGACAGGUUACAUCUUUGGAACAGUAUGGUGGGGAUUUGGUCUGAAUCUAUUUGCCUAUUUCAUUGCCUCUCAUAUUGCAGGUGGGUGUUGGUACGUUCUCGCGAUUCAGCGUGUUGCCUCCUGCCUACAAUCGGAAUGCGAGAUAAACAACAACUGCAAUUUGAUGUCACUGGCUUGCUCCAAGGAGAUGUGCUUUCACUUCCCUUGGUCAUCAGACAUGACUGCAUUAGCAUGCGAUACGAACUUAACUUCUUUCAGCCAACAAAAUGUGCCGGCCUGUCUAAGUGGCAAUGGCGCCUUUGCUUAUGGAAUCUACAAGGGAGCCCUUCCUGUUAUCUCGAGCAAUUCACUUGCUGUCAAAAUUCUCUAUCCCAUAUUCUGGGGCCUCAUGACCCUCAGUACUUUUGGCAAUGAUCUUGAGCCGACGAGCAACUGGCUUGAGGUGAUAUUCAGCAUCAUCAAUGUACUCAGUGGGCUGAUGCUCUUCACGCUGCUGAUCGGAAACAUACAGGUAUUCUUGCACGCCGUGCUGGCGAGGAAGCGGAAGAUGCAGCUGCGGUUCCGGGACAUGGAGUGGUGGAUGAGGCGGCGGCAGCUGCCGUCCCGGCUGCGGCAGCGGGUCCGGAAGUACGAGCGGGAGCGGUGGGCGGCCAUCACCGGCGACGAGGAGAUGGAGAUGAUCAAGGACCUGCCGGAGGGCCUCCGGCGGGACAUCAAGCGGUACCUGUGCCUGGAGCUGGUGAAGCAGGUGCCCCUGUUCCACGGCAUGGACGAGCUGAUCCUGGACAACAUCUGCGACCGGCUGCGGCCCCUGGUGUUCUGCGGCGGCGAGAAGGUGAUCCGGGAGGGCGACCCGGUGCAGCGCAUGGUGUUCAUCCUGCAGGGGCGGCUGCGGAGCACGCAGCCGCUGACCAAGGGCGUGGUGGCGGAGUGCGUGCUGGGGGCGGGGAGCUUCCUGGGCGACGAGCUGCUGUCGUGGUGUCUGCGGCGGCCAUUCGUGGACCGGCUGCCGGCGUCGUCCGCCACGUUCGAGUGCGUGGAGGCGGCGCAGGCCUUCUGCCUCGACGCGCCGGACCUGCGGUACAUCACGGAGCACUUCCGGUACAAGUUCGCCAACGACAAGCUCAAGCGCACCGCGCGGUACUACUCGUCCAACUGGCGGACGUGGGCGGCCGUCAACGUGCAGCUCGCGUGGCGGCGGUACAGGGCGAGGGUGAUGGCGACGGCGGUGCUCCCGCCGCCGCCGGCCGGCGCGGCGGGGCCCGAGGACGGGGACCGCCGGCUGCGCCAUUACGCGGCCAUGUUCAUGUCGCUCAGGCCGCACGACCACCUCGAGUAG